GUGUUCACUUCAGCAGCACAUAUACUAAAAUUGAAAUGAUACAGAGAAGAUUAUCAUGGCCCGUGCGCAAGGAUGACACAAAUUUGCCAAGCAUUCCCUAUUUUU
Molecule: small nuclear RNA, 105 nt
Organism: Capra hircus (goat)
Lineage: Eukaryota; Metazoa; Chordata; Mammalia; Artiodactyla; Bovidae
Source: Ensembl